CAGUCGCCACGGUAAUACGAAGGGGGCUAGCGUUGUUCGGAUUUACUGGGCGUAAAGGGCGCGUAGGCGGGCGAAUAAGUCAGGGGUGAAAUCCCAAGGCUCAACCUUGGAACUGCCUUUGAUACUGUUUGUCUUGAGUUCGAGAGAGGUAAGUGGAACUGCGAGUGUAGAGGUGAAAUUCGUAGAUAUUCGCAAGAACACCAGUGGCGAAGGCGGCUUACUGGCUCGAAACUGACGCUGAGGCGCGAAAGCGUGGGGAGCAAACAGGAUUAGAUACCCCUGUAGUCCCUGUCUCUUAUAC
This 301-nucleotide ribosomal RNA is filed under the name uncultured bacterium. RNAcentral's name for it is "partial 16S ribosomal RNA". It matches the Rfam family "Bacterial small subunit ribosomal RNA", at positions 509 to 807 of the family's 1533-position model. The record is from RNAcentral.